Molecule: ribosomal RNA, 248 nt
Filed under: uncultured bacterium
Lineage: Bacteria
Description: partial 16S ribosomal RNA
Rfam family: Bacterial small subunit ribosomal RNA
Source: RNAcentral
UACGUAGGGUGCGAGCGUUAAUCGGAAUUACUGGGCGUAAAGCGUGCGUAGACGGUAGCGUAAGUCGGGUGUGAAGCCCGGGCUCAACCUGGGAAUUGCAUUCGAGACUGCUCUGCUAGGGUGCGGAAGAGGGAGCGGAAUUUCCGGUGUAGCGGUGAAAUGCGUAGAUAUUCGCAGAACACCAGUGGCGAAGGCGGCCAACUGGACCAUUACUGACGCUGAGGUGCGAAAGCGUGGGAGCAAACAGG